UUACAAGGGGAACGGGUUUAUCAUUUCACUGGGCAGGACAAGUCAAUGUACAGUUGGCCUCCAAUAUCAUGAUAGGUCAAACAAACUUGAUGAAACAUAUAAACACUCAAGUGUAUGAUGCAUUACUGCAUGGACCACCACAAAAUAUCCAUUUAUCAUUCCCAACAAGGCAACAAAAUCUUGAUGAAACCUAAGAAGAAAAAUCACUGUAAAAACCUCAACAGGUUUGUGUCUUGCUGAAAAUAACAAAUAGUUCAACAGUUGAAUAAUAAUGCACCUUUAACGUCCAUCUCCAACAAAAGUAAUUCUUACACCCAGGAGCCUUUCCAUAACCCUGCAUCGACAAGUAAAAUAAGCAGAGCACUAACAACAGGGCAAAAUGACAUGUACU
Molecule: long non-coding RNA, 391 nt
Filed under: Triticum aestivum (bread wheat)
Lineage: Eukaryota; Viridiplantae; Streptophyta; Magnoliopsida; Poales; Poaceae
Description: long non-coding RNA (TAES_LNC012568)
Source: RNAcentral